UGUGGCAAUUAGGGCCACCUGUCUUCCCCACCGUGUAGCAGGCUAGGGAUAUACACUACCGGGUUUACAUUAUACAGUGUAUAUAAAGGCUGGGGUACACUACCUCACUGUUUACUAUAGAGCACCUGCUCCGAGCUAAUAGUUAUCCGAACGGAGGCUUUUGGAACAAGAUUUUUGCAUUCAAUCUGUUAACUGUUUAGUAUGUAAUAAUUAUAUAUAUGGUGUAACAUUAAUCUUUAAACAUGUGUGUUUUUCUGUGAUCAUGGAUGAGUUACAAUAAUGUGUUUUUAAGUGAACUUUUUAACUUAAGACGUUUUCGGAGUUCCAUUGGGAUCCAAUAUGAAAGGAAACACGGUGAAUAUUCUGGUACUGGGAAAAGAAGGCGUAGGAAAAACAGCUUUAGUCGUUCGUUUUCUGACCGGAAGAUUCCUUACCGAGUACGCGCAGUGCGAUGAAAUGGCGUACGAAAGAAGCAUCGCAUUGGAUGACAAACAAGUGUCUCUCAAGGUCAUUGAUGUUGGUGGCAAGAACAUAGACAAAAAGUCGGGUUCAAAGGAGAGUCUCCAGAAGAUAGAUGGCGCAGUUGUUGUAUACUCCAUCACCGACCGCCAGAGUUUUGACGUGGCUGAAUCCGUCGUUGAUUGGUUGAGAAAAGAACGUAGUUCAUGCAUUCCAAUUGUAUUACUAGGCAACAAAUCCGACCUUGACCACGCGCGGGCGGUCUCUAACCAAAAAUCCGAGGACAUCGAAUGGCGAAACACUGGGUACAUGCUUUCCGAAUGUUCUGCGUCAUCAGAUUCCGAAGGAGUGACGAAGAUUUUCCACAUGCUUGUCCGAAAGAUACUGGAAAAACGUGACACGCACAUCAAAGCCCAGAGGAAGUUAUCAUUAUCGCACGCACCUCUGGGGUCGCCCAAAUUGAUCAGAGCUCACCUUCGUAGGAGAUUCAGUGUGUUUACCCGGGAAAGGACUUCAACAAUGUAGCUGUAUUGUAUAAACAACCCUGGCUUCAGAUGUGAGAGUCUUUGGAGUCACAGAAGUAUAUCUAUUGCUCGCAUAUGCAAAAACAGUGUAUCUGUAAGCAAAUGUCAGGCCUUACAAAAGAUAAGAUAAAGGAAUAUAGAUGUAAACUAAUUUAUUUACUGAAUAGAAGAUUCUGCAUCUCUGUAUCGUCUACAAAUUAUCUAUCAAGGACAGAAAUGCAUUGAUUCUCAAUAUAAAGCACAUUGUAAUUGGAAGAAUAGACACUCACAAAGCAACUGUGUAUUGUGUGCUUUCUAAUUCUUGUUUUGUUAGAAUCGUUCUGUUAUCAAUAAUAUUACAAACACGUCGACAUAAAAUAGAACAAAGGCGUAAACAGUAACUGUAACGGCCAUGGAGAACGGUUUAUUUAUUGGGGAUCAACAAUGACAAUGACUGACCUACAAGAAGUGUCCAUUUGCAAUCAGCUGUUGUUACUUGGUAACGUCCAAACACUGAGAAACAUGUGUAAGGUAGGAAUGGAGAUCUAUCAGGAAUAGCGGUACCAAUGUUUUCAACCUUUCCAAGAAAUAGUGACAUCCUUAUAUUGAACGGAACAUUUGUUUGUGUCAGCAAUUAUAGAACGAGGUUCAGCUAGUUCAGUGUCUGUCCGGUGCGCAUUGCCUCUUCACCCCCGACCGUACAGGGGAUGGGCAAGUCAGUCAAGUGUGAGGAAGAAAACAUAUUUAAGCGUGUUUGCAUGAUAUAUAUAUCAGUAUGGAAAAGACAUCAUUCGACUAUUAUCUUAUUGUGUGUAUAUACAGCAUAUUAUACGGACUCUCUUGGAGCGAUAAGUGUGUGG
RNAcentral lists this unclassified non-coding RNA (1822 nucleotides) under Mizuhopecten yessoensis (Yesso scallop). RNAcentral describes it as "ras-related and estrogen-regulated growth inhibitor- like, transcript variant X1". Lineage: Eukaryota; Metazoa; Mollusca; Bivalvia; Pectinida; Pectinidae. The record is from RNAcentral.